RNAcentral lists this ribosomal RNA (243 nucleotides) under uncultured Actinomycetales bacterium. RNAcentral's name for it is "partial 16S ribosomal RNA". It matches the Rfam family "Bacterial small subunit ribosomal RNA", at positions 88 to 334 of the family's 1533-position model. Lineage: Bacteria; Bacillati; Actinomycetota; Actinomycetes; Actinomycetales. The record is from RNAcentral.
UACUCGAGUGGCGAACGGGUGAGUAACACGUGGGUGAUCUGCCCUGCACUUCGGGAUAAGCCUGGGAAACUGGGUCUAAUACCGGAUAGGAGCCAUUUUUAGUGUGAUGGUUGGAAAGUUUUUUCGGUGUGGGAUGAGCUCGCGGCCUAUCAGCUUGUUGGUGGGGUAAUGGCCUACCAAGGCGGCGACGGGUAGCCGGCCUGAGAGGGUGGACGGCCACAUUGGGACUGAGAUACGGCCCAG